Molecule: ribosomal RNA, 253 nt
Filed under: uncultured bacterium
Lineage: Bacteria
Description: partial 16S ribosomal RNA
Rfam family: Bacterial small subunit ribosomal RNA
Source: RNAcentral
UACGGAGGGAGCUAGCGUUGUUCGGAUAUACUGGGCGUAAAGCGCACGUAGGCGGCGUCGUAAGUCAGGGGUGAAAUCCCGGAGCUCAACUCCGGAACUGCCCUUGAAACUGCAAUGCUAGAGGAUUGGAGAGGUAGCUGGAAUUCUUGGUGUAGCAGUGAAAUGCGUAGAUAUCAAGUGGAACACCAGUGGCGAAGGCGAGUCCCUGGACGACUCCUGACACUGAGGCACGAAAGCUAGGGGAGCAAACAGG